Cyprinus carpio carpio is the source of this 2922-nucleotide long non-coding RNA. NCBI's taxonomy places the organism in Eukaryota, Metazoa, Chordata, Actinopteri, Cypriniformes, Cyprinidae. The record is from Ensembl.
CCAUGAAGUAACGCAAGCACCGCACGUUUUGUAUGUCUCCCUAUAUCUGACACAACCACUUCAGGUCUUGCAGUCUCCACUAAUGAGCAGAUGAGUGGAAUCAGGUGUGAUACUUGAGGGAGACAUACAGCAUGUGCAGGGCUGGGGGUACUCCAGGACAGGAUUUACACAAGCUCCAGUCUGGAUCCAUAACACCUGAGAAGAGAUGAUGCCAAUCCAUCAGACGACAUCAGAUGAUGCUAACCCUGAAACAACAUACAGAAGUACCAAAUUUUGCUAACACAUCUAAUUUCAUACCAGAGGCAUAUGCAGAUGCAUAUGGAGUAAAAUAAAUGUCUCAAUCUAAAGACUUCUCCUGCUCUCCUGAUUCUCUGACCGGAAUCUGGUCCAUACUUGGCCGCCUCAACCAGUUGUAAUUCAAAUGUAGUAAGGUUUACUACAUUAGUUUGGUCCUUCGAGCCGGAUUAAGAGCAACAUCAAACCAGUAUGGACCCAACAGUAAGUGACACAGAGACAAUGGAAAGACCUCGCCGCAGGACAAAUCUUCCGCCUCACCUGGAUGAUUAUGAGGUUGGCUACCGGCCCGCAGAGGACCAUCCUCCUAAAGUUUCUACCCCCUGUCCCAGUCAACGUAGAAGCAGCUCGAGGAAAACGUCCCACAGCAGUACCAGCUCUCAUUCCAGGACCAGUAGGCAUUCCAUUACCUCCACUGGCGUUUAUCUUCCACCAGAACUCUCUAAUGUCCAGACUGCUGUUUUGGAGGAGAAGAUAAAGCAGAGACAGUUUGACAGUCUCCGGCAGCAGGUACAGGAGGACUCACUCGCUGACAUGGAAUAUCAGCGGCUGCAGACACAAGCAAAGAAGCUCAGUGCAUUCAGGAAGAGGCUCUCGCAGCUAAGGAGGCUUUGUCCAAGCAUCUAGAGAGACAGCGCAAGCUGCAACAAGCAGAGACCGAACUCGAGGUAGCAAACCUUGUAUCUACCAUGCUUAUUAAAGACUCUUGUUCAGCCACUCCUAUGCAUCCAGGCUCACCAGCCAGCCCUUUGCCUCCACCUCAAACCAAUCAGAGUAGUCCAGCCAUGAGUCCACAGUCUCACUUGUUGUCUCAGCAGCCCUUUACUCAGUCACCAGCCGUGACAUCAUCUGUACAGCCUUCCUCAGGUGAUCAGAUAAUGCUGGAAGACACAUCACAGCUGUCACUCAGGCCACAGGCUGACAUUACCUACCACUGAAUCCGUGAGUGUUUUUUUCCCUAAAGCACUCCAUUUGCCACAAGCAGUUUCGUCACCAGUCUCUACAGUAUCUCAGGCUGCCGCUAUAACUGCGCCAUUACACACAGUGAUGUCAGCAUCAUAUGUGGUACCUCAGCCCUCCUCAUUAGCCACAGUUAAGUCCACUGCUGCGCACUCCAUGAAUAUGAGCAUGCCGUCUGUGCCACAGCUGUCUACAAGUCCAUAUGUGAUACGUCAAUCAUUGAACCCUCCAGUGAGCACACAUGCAUAUCAUCUGCAACCUCCAGUUACUAGCCAGCAGGCAUCAGCUAUGCCACCUAAUGCUAGCUUUGCUCAGCCACCCUCAUUCCUGCACCUUCCCCACACACAUUCUGCAUACCCUGGUACAGAGCUACUAUAUGCCUCAGCUUAUGGCAUCCCACAACCUAAGCUACCAGUGUUUGAAAGUGGUAAUGAGAGUGACUUUGCACUGUUAAAAUUGGCAUUGGACAAUUUGUUAAGUAAUCACAGCUAUCUCAGUGAGCAAUACAAAUACCACGUCCUGUUAAGCCAUUUGAAGCUUCCCAGUGCUCAGCAGCUAGCUAAAGCCUACAUGUAUCAUUCGCAUCCAUACUCAGCUGCGCUGCAGGCACUUCAGGAUAAGUAUGGGCAGCCAAGACAACUUGUGCAGUCAGAGCUGGGUGCCAUUAUGAACAGUCCACCACUUAGACUGGGCGAUGCUAAUGCCUUUGACUCCUUUGCCUUGUCAGUGCAAUCAUUGGUAGGCAUGUUGAGGACUCUUGAAGGUCAGAAUGGUUUCGAGCUCAUGUGUGGCUCUCAUGUGGAUCAUCUGCUCAGCAAGUUGCCACCUGCCUAUCGUGAUAGCUUUGUUGAAUACUGCCUUUUAAAGGGUAUUCUCCAGACAGGCACAGACAAAACCUAUACACUCCCCGAUCUGGCUUCGUGGUUAGAGAUUAAGUCCCAGGCGAAACAUAUUUCCACCCGAGCUGCAGCCUUGUUUCAGAGCGACUCACCCAAGUCCUAUGGUAAACCUACAACAUCUACUCGUCCAAAGGAGCGAUUUACACCGGUUCUGUUGACCAGUGAGAGGGGCACGAAAGGUCCUGAUACUGCAGCACAGAAAUCUAGCUCAAAGCCGAAGCCCAGGCCAUAUUGUCCUCAUUGUGAUAGCAGGGAUCAUUACCUCAAUGCCUGUGACCAGUUUAAGAAACUAACUACAGCUCAAAUCAUCACUUGGAUUAAAGAGGGAAAACGUUGCUGGAGGUGUGGCCGAACUCAUGUAGUGAAGGUCUGCAACCUCAAGCGUACAUGUGGUGUUUGUAAAGAGUUACAUCUUACAGUUCUGCAUGAUUCUGUUGAUGAUACUUCCAGAGCUGUUCUCAUGGUCAGUUUGCCACCGACCAGGAUUUACCUUGAUCGUCCUAACCAUUCACCCAAAGUCAUGCUGAAAGUGGUUAAAGUCCUUCUACACAAUGGUCAGCAAACCAUGGAAACUCACGCAGUUCUUGAUGACGGGUCAGAGAGAACAUUAGUGCUUCAGCCAGAAGUGCAGCAGCUUAUCCCUCUGGAGUCUAAGGGUAUUUUGGGGCCUGGAGAAGUUUUGUCAUGCCCUGACAUUUGUGCUUUUUUCAGUUUCUUAUAAAUAACCAAAUGGCUAAAGUCUAAUCUCACUGUAAUCAGCACAAACUGG